RNAcentral lists this ribosomal RNA (414 nucleotides) under uncultured delta proteobacterium. RNAcentral's name for it is "bacterial SSU rRNA". The stretch from base 1 to 314 matches the Rfam family "Bacterial small subunit ribosomal RNA", at positions 227 to 537 of the family's 1533-position model. Lineage: Bacteria; Deltaproteobacteria. The record is from RNAcentral.
GGCCCCCCGUCUCAUGAGCUUCUUGUAGGGGUAAUGGCCCGGAAGGCUACGAUGGGUAGCUGGUCCGAGAGGAUGAUCGGCCACACUGGAACUGAACCACGGUCCGGACUCCUACGGGUGGCAGCAGUGGGGAAUAUUGCGCACUGGGGGAAACCCUGACGCAGCCACCCCGUGUGAGGGAAGAACGCUUUCGGGUCGUCAACCUCUGUCGGGAGGGAAGAACCUUCCCGGUCUGAAUAAGCCCUGCAACUGACGGUACCUCCAAAGGAAGCACCGGCUAACCCCCUGCCAACAGCCCCGGUAAUUACGGCCAAUUCGCGGCCGCUAAAGUCAAUUCCCCCUAUACUGAGUCCAAUUACAAUUCCCUGGCCGCCGUUUUACAACCUCUUGACUGGGAAAACCCUGGUGUUACCC